GCCACAUUAUAAAUCUAAUCACAAGCACUGCACACCGGGCAACAGAAAAGGACAAACACAUCAUAAAACUAUGAACUGAUUACUGCAAUGCAAGUUGCAGUAAAUUUAAGAACAAAAGAAGCAAUAACCAAAGUGACCAAGGCAGCCUAAUUUGGAUAUAUAAUUUUCAAUAGAGUUCGGAGUCUAUAAUAUGGUCACCUUUGACGAAUUUUUU
This 214-nucleotide unclassified non-coding RNA is filed under the name Hevea brasiliensis (rubber tree). Lineage: Eukaryota; Viridiplantae; Streptophyta; Magnoliopsida; Malpighiales; Euphorbiaceae. The record is from RNAcentral.